GAAAUGUCAACUAGGAGAGCAAUAACAUUAUUAAUAGCAAAGCAAGUACAAAAGGAUACAGUACUCGGUCCACUUCCCGUCCUUAUAACUCCGAUCGGUAACUCCUUCGGUUGGCUGGCCAUCAACUUAUCCCUCCAGUGGUAGUACUCGAGUAUACCGAAACGGUUGUCCAGGGUUCCACCUACCCGAUCGAGCCCAGUCCUGGCUCGAGUAGGUCAGUAACCGAGACAGGGCCCAAGUUCAGCUUAUAGCUUACAACAUGCCCAGGUAACCAAGUAAUUCGACAAAAAGUAAAAUUCAUCAUUUGAAUAGGUCGAGAGAGGUAAAGUACACACUCGCCUAACAAUGAUGGACAACUUCAUAUAACAUGUGAUUCAUGAUAAUCAAGUAAUCAAGUGGAUACUUAGCACGUAAGCGCGUAAGCAAUACAAGUUGAUUUCAUGGGAGCAUGUAAUUCACGGAUAUCGAAUAAUCAUAUAGAUUAGAAAUCAUGUGAGCAAAUAGUCAAGUAAUCAGGUAGUCAUGUGGGUUGGUAAACGGUUCACGGUUAACGGUUAACGGUUGACGGUUAACGGUUGAGUAAUGACGGUU
RNAcentral lists this long non-coding RNA (591 nucleotides) under Coffea arabica (coffee). Its description in RNAcentral is "long non-coding RNA (CARA_LNC002881)". The record is from RNAcentral. Lineage: Eukaryota; Viridiplantae; Streptophyta; Magnoliopsida; Gentianales; Rubiaceae.